Molecule: long non-coding RNA, 339 nt
Filed under: Manihot esculenta (cassava)
Lineage: Eukaryota; Viridiplantae; Streptophyta; Magnoliopsida; Malpighiales; Euphorbiaceae
Description: long non-coding RNA (MESC_LNC001871)
Source: RNAcentral
UUAUGUUUAUGGAUUAGUACUGUGCUUGGGCCUAAGACUCGGUUAGUCCCUGUUUAAUACAUGAUGUAGGUUAUGGUUUAUUGUUGAGUUGUGUUUGAACUAAUCUUGUGGCAUGUGUUGUUUACCACGCUAUGGUAUUUGAGGAGGACCCUAGUAGAGGUCUUAUGUUUGUGGUUUGAUACAUGCACAGGUUAGGUUCUAGUUCUUUGGAUGUGACUCCGGCUUGAUGUAUGUUAUGUUGACCCAGCUAGAGUGAUGAGAGCUCUAGUAGGGGAUCCUUUUAUGUUUUCAGUUAUGUCGCAUACAGGUCAAGCUCGGUAUUUACAUCAUAUGUUGCAG